GGUAUAUGGCUCAGCUGGUAGAGUGUUUGUUUAGCAUACAAAAAGUCCUGGGUUCGAUUUCCAGUAUAUCC
Molecule: transfer RNA, 71 nt
Filed under: Cryptomonas paramaecium
Lineage: Eukaryota; Cryptophyceae; Cryptomonadales; Cryptomonadaceae
Description: Cryptomonas paramecium tRNA
Rfam family: tRNA
About the family: Transfer RNA (tRNA) molecules are approximately 80 nucleotides in length. Their secondary structure includes four short double-helical elements and three loops (D, anti-codon, and T loops).
Source: RNAcentral